This is a long non-coding RNA of Stegodyphus dumicola, 504 nucleotides long. Lineage: Eukaryota; Metazoa; Arthropoda; Arachnida; Araneae; Eresidae. The record is from RefSeq and is a predicted model, not a curated record.
GAUGUGUUUUUUUUUUUUUUUUUUUUUUUAAAUUUGCGUAUACAUAAGUUUAUUUGUUUUGUGGUGUGUGUUGAUCAAUAUUCUUUGGCGUGUGGUCUACAAGAACCUUGAUGUUUAUGCUAAUAUACAUCCAAGGCCUAGCUAACGAGUGAUGGACUAUGAUUCACGUUUACGUUAAACUAAAUAAACUUUUCUCAGUGCAGUCUAAGAUGCAUGGGCUACUGAUGAAAAUAACUUCAGCUGUGAUAGUUGCAUUUCUUAUAUGAGAGAUCACUUUCGUUUGAACUGACUGUUUAAUUCAUUCAUCUUAAAACUGAUGAGAGAAGAAUAUGGAUUGUGAAAAAAAAGUGCCAACUGAAACAGAGUAUGUUAGAAAGAAAGAUGAAAUCCAAAAUCUCGAUGACGCUGGAGAAGUGGUGAGAAGUAUCAUUGGUGAUAUAACUGCUGGCAACAUAGAACCAUCUAUCAAAUGUGUAGAAAACCAUAGUAAUUUGGAGAAGUUGG